RNAcentral lists this transfer RNA (73 nucleotides) under Danio rerio (zebrafish). RNAcentral describes it as "tRNA-Arg (ACG) (tRNA-Arg-ACG-7-1)". It matches the Rfam family "tRNA". From Rfam's summary of the family: Transfer RNA (tRNA) molecules are approximately 80 nucleotides in length. Their secondary structure includes four short double-helical elements and three loops (D, anti-codon, and T loops). The record is from Rfam by way of RNAcentral. Lineage: Eukaryota; Metazoa; Chordata; Actinopteri; Cypriniformes; Danionidae.
GGGCCAGUGGCGCAAUGGAUAACGUGUCUGACUACGGAUCAGAAGGUUCUAGGUUCGACUCCUGGCUGGCUCG